GGGGAUAUAGCUCAGUUGGUAGAGUACUUGCCUCACAUGCACAAGGGCCUGGGUUCGAUCCCCAGCACCACCA
This 73-nucleotide transfer RNA is filed under the name Ictidomys tridecemlineatus (thirteen-lined ground squirrel). Its description in RNAcentral is "Spermophilus tridecemlineatus (thirteen-lined ground squirrel) tRNA". It matches the Rfam family "tRNA". From Rfam's summary of the family: Transfer RNA (tRNA) molecules are approximately 80 nucleotides in length. Lineage: Eukaryota; Metazoa; Chordata; Mammalia; Rodentia; Sciuridae. RNAcentral also lists the same sequence under 1 other name. The record is from Rfam by way of RNAcentral.